This 87-nucleotide unclassified non-coding RNA is filed under the name Pseudomonas orientalis. Lineage: Bacteria; Pseudomonadati; Pseudomonadota; Gammaproteobacteria; Pseudomonadales; Pseudomonadaceae. The record is from RNAcentral.
GUGGGAGGGGGCUUGCCCCCGAUAGCGGUGGAUCAGUCAGUAAAUAGGUAACUGACCCACUGCAAUCGGGGGCAAGCCCCCUCCCAC